RNAcentral lists this ribosomal RNA (240 nucleotides) under uncultured bacterium. Its description in RNAcentral is "partial 16S ribosomal RNA". It matches the Rfam family "Bacterial small subunit ribosomal RNA", at positions 15 to 244 of the family's 1533-position model. The record is from RNAcentral.
GAUCCUGGCUCAGGAUGAACGCUAGCUACAGGCUUAACACAUGCAGGUCGAGGGGAAACGACAUCGAAAGCUUGCUUUCGAUGGGCGUCGACCGGCGCACGGGUGAGUAACGCGUAUCCAACCUGCCCACCACUUGGGGAUAACCUUGCGAAAGUAAGACUAAUACCCAAUGAUAUCUCUAGAAGACAUCUGAAAGAGAUUAAAAAUUUAUCGGUGAUGGAUGGGGAUGCGUCUGAUUAG